RNAcentral lists this ribosomal RNA (579 nucleotides) under uncultured bacterium. RNAcentral describes it as "bacterial SSU rRNA". It matches the Rfam family "Bacterial small subunit ribosomal RNA", at positions 338 to 916 of the family's 1533-position model. The record is from RNAcentral.
CCUACGGGAGGCAGCAGUCGAGAAUCUUCGGCAAUGGACGCAAGUCUGACCGAGCGACGCCGCGUGCGGGAUGAAGGCCUUCGGGUUGUAAACCGCUGUCAGAGGGGAUGAAGUGUACGGGAGUUAUCUCCUGUAUUUGACAGAGCCUCAGAGGAAGCACGGGCUAAGUUCGUGCCAGCAGCCGCGGUAAUACGAACUGUGCGAACGUUAUUCGGAAUCACUGGGCUUAAAGGGUGCGUAGGCGGCUGCCUAAGUCAGGUGUGAAAUCUCUCGGCUCAACCGGGAAACUGCGCUUGAUACUGGGCGGCUCGAGUGAGGUAGGGGUGUGUGGAACUUCCGGUGGAGCGGUGAAAUGUGUAGAUAUCGGAAGGAACGCCAGCAGCGAAAGCGGCACACUGGGCCUUUCUGACGCUGAGGCACGAAAGCUAGGGGAGCGAACGGGAUUAGAUACCCCGGUAGUCCUAGCCGUAAACACUGAACACUCGAGAGGGGGCUUCGGCCUUCUUUCUCUUAGCGAAAGCGUUAAGUGUUCCGCCUGGGGAGUAUGGUCGCAAGGCUGAAACUUAAAGGAAUUGACGG